UACGGACGGGGCAAGCGUUGUUCGGAAUCAUUGGGCGUAAAGGGCGCGUAGGUGGUUCUGUAUGUCUACCGUGAAAGCGUACGGCUCAACCGUAUUUUGUCGGUAGAAACUGCAGGACUUGAGGCUGGGAGGGGCUGGUGGAAUUCCCUGUGUAGCGGUGAAAUGCGUAGAUAUCGGGAGGAACACCAGUGGCGAAGGCGACUACCUGGCCCAUUCUUGACGCUGAGGCGCGAAAGCUAGGGGAGCGAACGGG
This 253-nucleotide ribosomal RNA is filed under the name uncultured bacterium. RNAcentral describes it as "partial 16S ribosomal RNA". It matches the Rfam family "Bacterial small subunit ribosomal RNA", at positions 524 to 776 of the family's 1533-position model. The record is from RNAcentral.